RNAcentral lists this transfer-messenger RNA (377 nucleotides) under Helicobacteraceae bacterium CG1_02_36_14. It matches the Rfam family "transfer-messenger RNA". From Rfam's summary of the family: Bacterial tmRNA, also known as 10Sa RNA or SsrA, is named for its dual tRNA and mRNA-like properties. Its role is to liberate the mRNA from a stalled ribosome. To accomplish this part of the tmRNA is used as a reading frame that ends in a translation stop signal. RNAcentral also lists the same sequence under 16 other names. Lineage: Bacteria; Pseudomonadati; Campylobacterota; Epsilonproteobacteria; Campylobacterales; Helicobacteraceae. The record is from RNAcentral.
GGGGCUGACCUGGUUUCGACGGGACUAAGUAGCUUCUAAUUGCAUGUCGGACUGAGCAUCUCCGUUACGCGGCUCACCUUGCUUAAACGCAAACAACACAAAUUACCGCCCAGCUUACGCAGUAGCAUAAGUUUUACCCCUCCGCAAGGAGACGGGCUGCUUCACCUAAUGACGCUAGAUAGUUAGGAUUCGAAGUAUAACCCCUAUGUAGAUAUAUUUUACGCUUUGUCUCGCGCGUAGAAUGAAUCCAGAGACUCGUCUUGUGUAGCUUUGCAAGUUGUGUGAAGCAAGAUUAAACUUUAACGACUUUUCUAAACAUGUAGACGUUAGGAGUAGCGUGGUUUCGGACUGGAGUUCGAUUCUCCACAGCUCCACCA